Molecule: transfer RNA, 67 nt
Filed under: Quedenfeldtia moerens
Lineage: Eukaryota; Metazoa; Chordata; Lepidosauria; Squamata; Sphaerodactylidae
Description: tRNA-Tyr
Rfam family: tRNA
About the family: Transfer RNA (tRNA) molecules are approximately 80 nucleotides in length. Their secondary structure includes four short double-helical elements and three loops (D, anti-codon, and T loops).
Source: RNAcentral
GGUAAGGUGGCCGAGAGUAGGCGGCGGGCUGUAAAUCCGCAGACGGGGUAAAAGGCCCCCCUUAUCA